GACGAACGCUGGCGGCGUGCUUAACACAUGCAAGUCGAACGGUAAGGCCCUUCGGGGUACACGAGUGGCGAACGGGUGAGUAACGCGUGAGUAACCUGCCCUUCACUCUGGGAUAACAGUUGGAAACGGCUGCUAAUACCGGAUAUUCAGCUCCUGUCGCAUGGUGGGGGUUGGAAAGUUUUGGUGGUGGAGGAUGGGCUCGCGUCCUAUCAGCUUGUUGGUGGGGUGAUGGCCUACCAAGGCGUCGACGGGUAGCCGGCCUGAGAGGGCGACCGGCCACAUUGGGACUGAGAUACGGCCCAAACUCCUACGGGAGGCAGCAGUGGGGAAUAUUGCACAACGGGCGGAAGCCUGAUGCAGCAACGCCGCGUGCGGGAUGACGGCCUUCGGGUUGUAAACCGCUUUCAGCAGGGACGAAGCGCAAGUGACGGUACCUGCAGAAGAAGCACCGGCUAACUACGUG
RNAcentral lists this ribosomal RNA (463 nucleotides) under uncultured bacterium. RNAcentral describes it as "partial 16S ribosomal RNA". It matches the Rfam family "Bacterial small subunit ribosomal RNA", at positions 28 to 507 of the family's 1533-position model. The record is from RNAcentral.